UACGGAGGGUGCAAGCGUUAUCCGGAUUCACUGGGUUUAAAGGGUGCGUAGGUGGAUUGGUAAGUCAGUGGUGAAAUCUCCGGGCUUAACUCGGAAACUGCCAUUGAUACUAUCAGUCUUGAAUACCGUGGAGGUCAGUGGAAUAUGUCAUGUAGCGGUGAAAUGCUUAGAUAUGACAUAGAACACCAAUUGCGAAGGCAGCUGGCUACACGAAUAUUGACACUCAGGCACGAAAGCGUGGGGAUCAAACAGG
RNAcentral lists this ribosomal RNA (253 nucleotides) under uncultured bacterium. Its description in RNAcentral is "partial 16S ribosomal RNA". It matches the Rfam family "Bacterial small subunit ribosomal RNA", at positions 524 to 776 of the family's 1533-position model. The record is from RNAcentral.